RNAcentral lists this long non-coding RNA (231 nucleotides) under Brassica rapa (field mustard). RNAcentral describes it as "long non-coding RNA (BRAP_LNC002128)". Lineage: Eukaryota; Viridiplantae; Streptophyta; Magnoliopsida; Brassicales; Brassicaceae. The record is from RNAcentral.
UAAGCCACACUGUUUUUUUUAAUAAUGAUGGCAUUAUGUUUUAAUUUCUAAAGUUUUAACUUUUAAACAUACUCAAGGAAAGCAAAUUGACAAAAAUAAUGGCGAUAAAAAAAUGAACAAAAUAAAUAAACAGAUGACAACAAACUAAGAAGUGUAAUAUAAAAACUUCUGAGCGUUCUAUAAGUGCGUAAUUAAGAAAAUAUAACACUAUCAUAUUCCGUUGCUCAAGAC